RNAcentral lists this ribosomal RNA (433 nucleotides) under uncultured bacterium. Its description in RNAcentral is "partial 16S ribosomal RNA". It matches the Rfam family "Bacterial small subunit ribosomal RNA", at positions 29 to 507 of the family's 1533-position model. The record is from RNAcentral.
AACGAACGCUGGCGGCAUGCCUAACACAUGCAAGUCGAACGAAGCCUUCGGGCUUAGUGGCGCACGGGUGCGUAACGCGUGGGAAUCUGCCCCUUGCUUCGGAAUAACAGUUAGAAAUGACUGCUAAUACCGGAUGAAGUCUUCGGACCAAAGAUUUAUCGGCAAGGGAUGAGCCCGCGUAGGAUUAGGUAGUUGGUGGGGUAAAGGCCUACCAAGCCGACGAUCCUUAGCUGGUCUGAGAGGAUGAUCAGCCACACUGGGACUGAGACACGGCCCAGACUCCUACGGGAGGCAGCAGUGGGGAAUAUUGGACAAUGGACGCAAGUCUGAUCCAGCAAUGCCGCGUGAGUGAUGAAGGCCUUAGGGUUGUAAUGCUCUUUUACCAGGGAUGAUAAUGACAGUACCUGGAGAAUAAGCUCCGGCUAACUCCGUG